Ameiurus melas (black bullhead) is the source of this 73-nucleotide non-coding RNA. Lineage: Eukaryota; Metazoa; Chordata; Actinopteri; Siluriformes; Ictaluridae. The record is from the annotation of a GenBank genome assembly.
GUUUCUGUAGUGUAGUUAUCAUCACGUUUGCCUAACACGCAAAAUGUCCCUGGUUCUAGACUGGGCAGAAACA